GGAGAGGUGCUCGAGUGGCUGAAGAGGCACGCCUGGAAAGCGUGUAUACCUUAACCAGGUAUCGAGGGUUCGAAUCCCUCUCUCUCCG
RNAcentral lists this transfer RNA (88 nucleotides) under Saprospiraceae bacterium. RNAcentral describes it as "tRNA-Ser". It matches the Rfam family "tRNA". From Rfam's summary of the family: Transfer RNA (tRNA) molecules are approximately 80 nucleotides in length. Their secondary structure includes four short double-helical elements and three loops (D, anti-codon, and T loops). Lineage: Bacteria; Pseudomonadati; Bacteroidota; Saprospiria; Saprospirales; Saprospiraceae. The record is from RNAcentral.